GAUAGUGAACCAGUACCGUGAGGGAAAGGCGAAAAGAACCCCGGCGAGGGGAGUGAAAAAGAACCUGAAACCGUGUACGUACAAGCAGUGGGAGCACAGGUUUACCUGUGUGACUGCGUACCUUUUGUAUAAUGGGUCAGCGACUUAUAUUCUGUAGCAAGGUUAACCGUAUAGGGGAGCCGUAGGGAAACCGAGUCUUAACCGGGCGUUAAGUUGCAGGGUAUAGACCCGAAACCCGGUGAUCUAGCCAUGGGCAGGUUGAAGGUUGGGUAACACUAACUGGAGGACCGAACCGACUAAUGUUGAAAAAUUAGCGGAUGACCUGUGGCUGGGGGUGAAAGGCCAAUCAAACCGGGAGAUAGCUGGUUCUCCCCGAAAGCUAUUUAGGUAGCGCCUCGUGAAUUCAUCUCCGGGGGUAGAGCACUGUUUCGGCUAGGGGGCCAUCCCGGCUUACCAACCCGAUGCAAACUGCGAAUACCGGAGAAUGUUAUCACGGGAGACACACGGCGGGUGCUAACGUCCGUCGUGAAGAGGGAAACAACCCAGACCGCCAGCUAAGGUCCCAAAGUCAUGGUUAAGUGGGAAACGAUGUGGGAAGGCCCAGACAGCCAGGAUGUUGGCUUAGAAGCAGCCAUCAUUUAAAGAAAGCGUAAUAGCUCACUGGUCGAGUCGGCCUGCGCGGAAGAUGUAACGGGGCUAAACCAUGCACCGAAGCUGCGGCAGCGACGCUGAUGCGUUGUUGGGUAGGGGAGCGUUCUGUAAGCCUGUGAAGGUGUGUCGUGAGGCAUGCUGGAGGUAUCAGAAGUGCGAAUGCUGACAUAAGUAACGAUAAAGCGGGUGAAAAGCCCGCUCGCCGGAAGACCAAGGGUUCCUGUCCAACGUUAAUCGGGGCAGGGUGAGUCGACCCCUAAGGCGAGGCCGAAAGGCGUAGUCGAUGGGAAACGGGUUAAUAUUCCCGUACUUGGUGUUACUGCGAAGGGGGGACGGAGAAGGCUAUGUUGGCCGGGCGACGGUUGUCCCGGUUUAAGCGUGUAGGCUGGUUUUCCAGGCAAAUCCGGAAAAUCAAGGCUGAGGCGUGAUGACGAGGCACUAC
This 1093-nucleotide ribosomal RNA is filed under the name Salmonella enterica subsp. enterica serovar Paratyphi B var. L(+) tartrate +. RNAcentral describes it as "partial 23S ribosomal RNA". It matches the Rfam family "Bacterial large subunit ribosomal RNA", at positions 486 to 1580 of the family's 2925-position model. The record is from RNAcentral. Lineage: Bacteria; Pseudomonadati; Pseudomonadota; Gammaproteobacteria; Enterobacterales; Enterobacteriaceae.